UAUCCUUACAAUUCUAUUGUAUCAGAAGCUAUGAGAUGUUCUCGUAACGAACAAGUGCGAUUGUUUUUAAGUUCCUGAGAUUUCACAUUUUGUUAAUAUCGGAGGUGUUUUGAAAUUUUUUAUCGUAGGAAUUUUACAAUUGUUUGAUUUUCAAACAAUGUUUCCUAUUUUAUAGAUGUAGAUAGAUAGGUUCAGUAGAUAGUAAGGUACGAAGGUGAGUACCAAUCCUAGAUGUGCAGAUGGAAAGUGGAGAGAUGACAGAGAGGUAUAGACAAACAAGAUUGUUAUUUAAGUACAAUAUAAUGCAUACAUUUUUGAACCUAAGAGAUAUCGGUAGUGAUUGAGUUGAAGGUAUCAAGUUAAAAUUGAGCAAAAGCUAUUUUCCGUGUUUUUUGGCCGAGGUCUGCGUGGUCAAAGACGAUGAAGUAACAAUAAAAGUGCUCAAGUUCUCAACGCAGAAAGUACAAUAUUGGAAUUUGUCUCCAGUUAUAUAUGAUCAUUGGUCGGCGUGGCUUCGUUUCUCUCGAUUUGAUUGUAUGACCUUGUUUGUGUACAAUUGACUACACUCUAUGUUGAAAUUACUAGAAUUUAAUGCAGGUAAUAAAGUGUAAUUGCUCGUUUUGAAUUUUAAUUUUGAAAUGUUUCCAAGUUACAUACUGAAUCAUAUUAUAACCAGGACUGUACAAUUUCUAGUCUAUGCUACAGUACUAUCACUAACCAAGUCACUAGUAUUUAAAUCAGACACAACAUUUCCAUUUGAUUUGAUUAUAUCUUUCAUAAUUACUACAUGACUUGGUUAUUUACUCAGAUACAACUCUUUGUUUGUAAUGUGAUUUCCAUUACAGAUAAAGACAUUUUCGAAAAAGGUGUCUGCAUAUGACUCUACUUUUCCCAAACAUGUUCUAUUGGAUACAAAUCUGGGCAAACUGCACCUGCAAGUUAAAAUUUGCUAAGCUGUAUUUGAAAUUGCCCACCAAAUACCUAAACUUGUUAGUUAUAUUUUUCAGAUAGGCAUUCCAUUUUACAUGACUGUCAAGCAUUUUACCGAGAUAUUUGACUAUGUUGAAGUACUUCAACUGUAUAACAUUAUUUUCCAGAGUAGUAAGUAGAUGAGUUUCGUGAAUGAAACUUUUUUUUCAGAUUUGAAAUUAAUAGUUCACUACUGAAAUAUUCCAUAAAGUGUAUCUAUGAUUUUUUGUUUCAGGAAUCUUCAGUUUCUAUCUUCCAAAAAAAAGUGUAAUCAGCAAAGCCUGUAACUUCUACAGACAUAGGUGGGUCAAACAGGGAGUUAAUGUAAAGAAUAAACAAAUUAGGACCCAAAACGAAAGUUCUCUCACUGCUCAUUUCAUUUCCUAUUUUGACACACUGUUUUCUAUUACUCAGAUAGCUUCUCAUCAGUUGAUGUGGAAUAUCUCAAUCUGGGUUCAAGGCAAUGGUAACUUCUGGCUUACUGUUGAUUUUUUCAAUAUCAGUGUGAAAAAAAUUGAUGGUCUGAAUUUCGUGUAGCUGACAUAGCUAAUUGGCACUGAUAUACAUAUUUCAAUUUAUAAGCAUAACAUAUGCUUGUGCUGUGAUUAUUUUGUUCCUCUAAAUGACAAUUAAAAACAUAUCCUGCACAUUCAAUUGAAUUACCACUUCGUAUUUACCAUAAAUCAAACACUCUGGAUGCAAGGAAGCAAAUAUAUCACCAAAUAAAUCAGUUGAAAAUGUC
Molecule: long non-coding RNA, 1711 nt
Organism: Leptinotarsa decemlineata (Colorado potato beetle)
Lineage: Eukaryota; Metazoa; Arthropoda; Insecta; Coleoptera; Chrysomelidae
Source: RefSeq, a predicted model, not a curated record